CAAAGCAGGUUCAAUAAAACUCUGAGUCUAACCCUGAACUCUAGUUGAUCUACUCUGAGAUAGGAAACUCUGUGUUUUCGGUUCCACAACAGCUGAUUUGAGUUAGUUAAAUCAACUUGGAGUAGUUUCACCUGGGGUUAAGUGCGUGCACCACAACUUUAAAAAGACAGCAUCAAUGGAACCCCGAUUCGACGAGUCACCAUGGCAAAGGAGAAGAAGAGGGCGGCAUUUUUCACCCCACUGGAACUGGACAUCCUUAUUCGCUCAUAUGGCGAGUUUGAGCAUGUUUUUUUUUUUAAAAAGCAACACCGCUGUAGGUGCCAAACAGAGGGAGACGGCAUGGGAGAACAUUGCGGCUCGGGUCAAUGCAGGGGGAAACUGCUUGAAUGGUAGCCUAUUAAUUUAUUUCAUUUAGGUGCAAUCACGCGGGGGAGAAGCACACCUGGCUGCAGCUUAAGAUGGAAAUAUAAAAACAAUGUUCAAACAGACUCAGCCAACAUAAAGAAAGCAGAUGCCCGUAAAACGGGUGGCGGCCGAGCACCGCCACCUCUAACUGAGGCAGAGGCGCUGGCCCUGAGCCAGAAUUUUGGAAGGCCAGCGACACCCCCCAAGACACAAGUGCCUUUAUAACAUAUUCUGAUGGUGCUAUCUGCCUGGUGGAGCCCCCUCACGCCACAACAGACCUUGUAACUGAUGAAGAGUACGAGGAGACUUUGUCUGCUGCCUUCACAGAGUGGGAACCAGAAAGGCCUAGAGGGCAUGGCUGGGAAGCAGCAGGAGGGUCCCUCAACUUCAACUGCACAGAUUGACACAGUGAGAUGGAUGUUCAGUAAACACCAGAGGUUCAUUCUGUGGAAUUCAUGUGCAACUGUAUAAUUUAAUGUCCUCCUUAUGUAUUACCAGUUAAAGAUAUCUAUAAAAUAUUUCUGCUGAAAUAAAUUGAAAAAACCGACAAAGAAAUGCAGUUCUUGGACCGCCAGAUGAGAAGGGCAGAUCUCGAAAUUGAAUUACUAGAGCACAAGUUAGAGGAAAUAAAGAAGACCAAAUGAAA
Long non-coding RNA from Notolabrus celidotus (New Zealand spotty), 1051 nucleotides. RefSeq lists it as uncharacterized. NCBI's taxonomy places the organism in Eukaryota, Metazoa, Chordata, Actinopteri, Labriformes, Labridae. The record is from RefSeq and is a predicted model, not a curated record. The transcript has 6 exons.